UGAGAACAUCUCCCGAUGAUGCUUUAUCAUUUUUGUCACUAUCACCGGGAGWUGUUCCCAAUAAAAGGCAGGGAUUUUCUGUGAGAUGUUGUAGGAAACUACCGUUAGAAUUUUCAUUCAAAACCCAAUCCGAAAUACCAUUUCUAUUCCUACAAUCUCUCUCUCUCUCUCUCGCACUCUGGUUUAUCACCGUGACUUCAGUCUCUGUUUCUACCCCCGUGAUUCGAUCUUUUGGUGCUGAAGGCUUGUUCAACCCGAAGAGAUUAUUCAGCUUGAUAAUCUGAAAACCGAGUGCAGAAUCUGUUGAGUGACAAUAAAAGCGAAAUCAUUACUGAUGGCAAUCACAUGAGCUCAAAGGUAGUUAGUUGAUCCUUCAAGAUGAAAAUACGGGCAUUCGCCAUAAAGGGCUUGUUGUUGAUGGAAGGAACAUAAGUUCUAAGGCAACCAUCAAGAAAGGCAAAGGGGAUCUUGGCAACCGGAAAGGUCUUGGCAACACCACCAAACAUAUCAUGUCCUCAAUAGGAGACAUCGUCAAAGAAGAAGAAUUAUCCAAAGGAGUUCAAUAUAGCCAAUGAAGCAUAUUUACAUGACGAAAGAAAAUGCAUAGAGAAGCAAGCAGCAACAAUGGACCAUUAUUUUUUGGACACAUUUCUUUUAGAUCAUGGUCAUGACAUGACUCUGAUACAUUAGUAUUUGUGGGGUGCUAGUAAAUGAGUUUAUGCAACUGUUGUUAGUUGGAUGAAGAUCAGGAGCAUGGUUCACAAGUUUCCAAUUCAAUGGGAUACUCUUUCCUCCCAUUUGCAAUUUUAGAGAGUUGAAUUUAGACUUUAAGCCAGAUGAUGAUACCAGUGUUGGUUCUCCUAAGUUGCUCUAAGAAUUUCUGCGUGGCAUGUCUCCCAAUCAUGAAGGGUUAUGAGCUCAACUACCUCUUCAAAUUUCAGCUCCUACAACUGCAGAUAUUAACUGAACAAUUUGUUUUGCCUUGUCAUGCAAAUGUGAUUAGUCAAUUUCUCUCAUUUGUGAUUUGUCAAUUUCCUGAAAAUUAUACAAAUACGAAGACCUUUUGUAUUUCAUACCUAGAUGGGACAUAAUGCAUAUAUAUGUAUUUGACCUCUCAAAGAUCUGAAACUUUGGCAUU
Molecule: long non-coding RNA, 1138 nt
Organism: Nelumbo nucifera (sacred lotus)
Lineage: Eukaryota; Viridiplantae; Streptophyta; Magnoliopsida; Proteales; Nelumbonaceae
Source: RefSeq, a predicted model, not a curated record